Molecule: RNA transcript, 3693 nt
Organism: Sapajus apella (tufted capuchin)
Lineage: Eukaryota; Metazoa; Chordata; Mammalia; Primates; Cebidae
Gene: CCDC50
Gene name: coiled-coil domain containing 50
Exons: 15
Source: RefSeq, a predicted model, not a curated record
GGAACGGUUAUGUUUUGGGUGACCGGCGUGGCCCCUUUGUUGAGGCCUCUAGGAUACAAAGCCCCCACCUAAAGACUCGACCCCCCCCUCGGGAGGGAGGCAGGGCCCGGGGGCGGGAGCACAGCGGGGCCCCAGCCUCAGGCGCGUCACUGAGCACAAAGGAGACAGCAGGGAGGCGGCGGCGGGCGCUGAUCCUCGCUCGCCAGCCACUCGCGAUUGCGGUUACAGACCUGCAGCGCCCCCUCCCCCGCCCGCCGGCCUUUCUGUCUCCUCUCUCCCUCCGUACUGGACGGUCCCGCUGCAUUUCCGGGCUCCGGAUAUUUGGUGUCGAUUGGGGCUGGGGGCGCGGAGCAGGUGGCCGCGGCGGGGCGGCGGGGCCGCCAGCCGGGUGCGUCGGGGUCCGUCUCCCGCUGCUUUGGUCACCAGCCCCCGCCCGCCCGCGCGCCCCGCUCCGUUCUCCGGCCUCCGAGCGCUUCCCGCCGGACUUUGCGCCGCGUCGGGCGCUACUGCUGCGCUCGGGGCCCCGCUCGGCGCCGGCGUGAAAGGCGCGACCGGGACCCCGGCCCAAUAUGGCUGAAGUCAGCAUCGACCAGUCGAAGCUGCCUGGAGUCAAGGAAGUAUGCCGAGAUUUUGCUGUCCUGGAGGACCACACCCUGGCUCACAGCCUGCAGGAACAAGAGAUUGAGCAUCAUUUGGCAUCAAACGUUCAGCGGAACCGUUUGGUCCAGCAUGACCUCCAGGUGGCUAAGCAGCUCCAAGAGGAAGAUCUGAAAGCCCAGGCUCAGCUCCAGAAGCACUACAAAGACCUUGAACAACAAGACUGUGAAAUUGCUCAGGAAAUUCAGGAGAAGCUGGCUAUUGAGGCAGAGAGACGACGCAUUCAGGAGAAGAAGGAUGAGGACAUAGCUCGUCUUUUGCAAGAAAAGGAAUUACAGGAAGAUAAAAAGCGAAAGAAGCACUUUCCAGAGUUUCCUGCAACCCAUGCUUAUGCAGAUAAUUACUGUUACGAAGAUGGAGACCAAUCAAGGUCAAGGAGGGCCAGGGAAUUGGGUUCUGGAUUCUCAAGACCUUGUAGACUCCAAAGAGAUGGAAAGACUGUGAAGCAGAAGAAGGAGAAACCAGAACAUCCACUGGAGAACUUGGAAGAGCCAGAACAGCAUUGUUCAUCAGAGAGAUCCCUGUCAUCCUCUAGCUGGGGCACAAUGAGGGACAAUCCCCAAAUUAACAGUAAGCAGCAUGAAAGGAAACGAUCCACUCAGAAGAGGCUCCAGAGACCUCCACUUCCCACAAUCAGUGGUGAAGUGUUUCUGAGCACUGAAUAUGAUGACUUGGAGGCUAAGAGUAACCAUCAGACUCGAAAUUGGGAAAAACAUUCUCAACACCAAGACCGACUUUCACCCAAGCCCUCACAAAAAACAGGGCUUCACUGCAAGGAAAUUGUAUAUGGGAGGGACCAUGGGCAAGGUGAGCACAGAAAAAGGAGCCACAGGCCCAGGACUCCUCCAUUCUCAGAGCGUGAGAAGCAGCUCCACCUCCACGACCCAGGAAUGAAGCCAAGAACAACAAAAGAAGCUAUAUCUACUGAAUCACGAGUGACCCACAGGGAUCAGGAAUGGUAUGAUGCUGAAAUUGCCAGAAAACUACAAGAAGAAGAACUUCUGGCUACCCAGGUGGACAUGAGAGCCGCUCAAGUAGCUCAAGAUGAAGAAAUCGCUCGACUUCUUAUGGCUGAAGAAAAGAAAGCUUAUAAAAAAGCCAAGGAGCGGGAGAAAUCAUCUUUGGACAAAAGAAAGCAAGACCCUGAGUGGAAGCCAAAAACAGCUAAAGCAGCACACUCAAAGUCAAAAGAGAGUGAUGAAUCUCAUCGUUCUAAGAAUGAAAGGCCAGCACGGCCACCACCACCUAUCAUGACAGAUGGUGAAGAUUUGGAUUACACUCAUUUUACAAACCAGCAGAGUUCCACACGGCAUUUCCCAAAAUCAGAGUCCUCUCAUAAAGCAGAGGGCACCCGGAGAUGGCAAGACGGCAUUAACCUUGAGGCACUCUGAGACAGAAUCUACCGGAUUGGCAGAAUGUAAAGACCAAGACACUAGUUCACUUGCAACUUUAUGAAGAGAAGAGGUCACUUUCUCUUGAAGAACUUAAACCCUGAGUAUACCAUUUUUGUUUGAGAAUACUGAUGACCACAUUUCCCAGCUUUCUGAUGAUUCUGACUGCUUGGUACUGACUCUUGUUGAACAUCUGUGGGAUCAAGCCUGAGGCUCCACCUCCAUGAGCAUAAAAUACCUAAAUUACCCAUGAAACUUUUAUGAACAAGGCAAUUUUUGAAGCUGAAAAGCAUAAAAUAAUGUCAGAGCUCUCAAAGUGAAGAAGAUAAAAUCAUUCUUCAUCUUUACCUCCUUCCCCCCACCCUACCUGCCACCCUUUUGGCCUACUGUUUAGUGGAAAGCUCUCUUAUAAAAUUACCCUCCUCUAACUUCCUUGUCUCGGAGUGAUUGACAUCUGGACAAUUUUGUUUUGCCUUGGGUAACUUCAGAGAAUACAUUUUUGCUCACUGGAUUCAGUAUUGUGUCUGUACUCUUUUUUGGUUUCAAAGGGUGAGACACUGUCUUUGGCUUUCUCUGAAUCUUCUCUUCAUCCUUAUUUUGUGUUUAUUGUAGAAGAUGCCAAAGCAUCGGACUAGCGUACAUUUGGAAAUCAUUUCUAGUGUAAGUCAGAGUCCUGAUGGGAACAUGGAAACCAUAUUAGGAAUUUAAAAUAGAGUCGAUUUGCUUUGGGAUAUUAUGACACAGAUACUGAUGAGCUGAAAGAGCAGAAAGGUAAUACUGGUGACCUAGAAUAGUAGGUACAGGAAGAGCCUGGGAUAAAGAAGAAACAGUGGAGACAAAGGAACUAUGUGGCUGGUUUAGCAAAUACAGAAAGAAGUUGCAGGCUUGACCAAGGGAAGCACAGCUCCAAAGGAAAGAAGCAAGGCAGGAAGAAGCUCCUUGUCCCUCUCCCCCCAUCUCCCACUGUUACUCUGUUAUGCUGCCUGCUGGCAGAAAUUCAGUUCCCAAACUGGGAAUCAUAGUUUGCUGUGUUUUGAGCCCCAGCAUCACGGAGUAUAGAAUGAGUUUAGAGGUAAGAGAAACUGGAUAAUAAAUCAGCACAAUUUCAACAAUUUUUGACACAAAGAAUAUAAUUUCUUAGUAUACUUUCUAUUUAUACACUAUCAGUGCAGUUUCCUGCAAUUAAAUAUAUAUAUAAUAAAGUUUCAUCAAAUGGCACUUUAAUAAUUUGUAACUCAAUGCAUUUUUAUUCUAUAAUUUAUUAGUUUCCAUUUGUUUAUCUUUGGUAGAGACUAUUUUAAAUUAGCAUUUGAUAAUUAGUAAAUGGGAUUUUCACCUUCUGUGCUGAUGUUAGAACUGAAUCUCCACAUAAGUUGCAACUACAAACCAUCUAAUAAUCUAGCAAACAUAUUAAAUCAAUUUAAAAAGAACCAAGUAUGUAACAAAUUAUUUUCCUCUAAAGAGAAAAUAAUUUGAGAACGUAUAAAGCAGAAUUUUUAGAGAAGGAAUUUAGAGCUCAUGUAACCAAUGAAUCUUGUUUCUAAAGUUACUUCCACUUAAUAGUCAAUUCUUUCUUUACAAAUCUGUAAAGGGCUGGACUGAGACAGUAUUGAAAAAAUACAUUUAAAUAAAUUUAGAGAUAAAA